CCUACGGGUGGCAGCAGUGGGGAAUCUUGCACAAUGGGCGAAAGCCUGAUGCAGCAACGCCGCGUGAGGGACGAAGGCUUUUGAGUUGUAAACCUCUUUCAGCAGGGACGCGGUACCUGCAGAAGAAGCCCCGGCCAACUACGUGCCAGCAGCCGCGGUAAUACGUAGGGGGCAAGCGUUGUCCGGAUUUAUUGGGCGUAAAGAGCUCGUAGGCGGCUUGGCAAGUCGGAUGUGAAACCUCCAGGCUCAACCUGGAGUCGCCAUUCGAUACUGCUAGGCUUGAGUUUGGUAGGGGACCACGGAAUUCCUGGUGUAGCGGUGAAAUGCGCAGAUAUCAGGAGGAACACCAGCGGCGAAGGCGGUGGUCUGGGCAAACUGACGCUGAGGAGCGAAAGCGUGGGGAGCGAACAGGAUUAGAUACCCUUGUAGUC
RNAcentral lists this ribosomal RNA (431 nucleotides) under uncultured bacterium. RNAcentral's name for it is "partial 16S ribosomal RNA". It matches the Rfam family "Bacterial small subunit ribosomal RNA", at positions 338 to 795 of the family's 1533-position model. The record is from RNAcentral.